RNAcentral lists this long non-coding RNA (1550 nucleotides) under Prunus dulcis (almond). RNAcentral describes it as "sRNA ncRNA". Lineage: Eukaryota; Viridiplantae; Streptophyta; Magnoliopsida; Rosales; Rosaceae. The record is from RNAcentral.
GAGACAUGUUGCAGCGUAUCCCUCAGAUUUAUUUUUUUUUCUUUUCCUUCCGUAUCCCUCUCUCUCGCACGAGACACCCGAGUCUCUUCUCUUCUCUUCCCUUCAGUUUUUCAUUUCUUCUUCUAUUUUGACCUAACGGCUGUGCUGUGCCUGUGGCUGCUCAAAUCUUCAAUCCAGAGCUGCACCUCUGCUGCGGCUGUGCCUGUGGCUGCUGCGAUUUCACGAUCUCCCGCCCAGGCCUAGGUAUCAUCCCUUCUCUCUCUCUCUCUCUCUCUCUCUCUCUCUCUCUCUCUCAAGUCGACCUCAGCCUAACCCACAUCACCUCUCUCUGUUUCAGGCACACACAACACAAACCCGAUCAAGAGCCGCCACAACCAAAUCUCUCUCCCUCUCUGUUAGUCUCCCUUGUGGGCAUGCUUUACAUUCUGUGAUAAAGAUUACCCCUUUGUUCCUGGGUUGUUUUCUGCUUUGGAUAUAGAAGCUACGCACUUUGAUUGGUGCUCCUUGCGUGGGUUUCUGGGCUUCUUAAAAGUUUGUGUAAAAAUACUGUUUGUUCUUUUACUUUCUCAUAUAUGGGAUGGUUUAUCAGUACAAGAAGCUGAAUUCUGCUUGAAAUUUGACAACUUCUGUUAUUUUAUUUUUAUACAUAUAUAUUUUUUUAAAAUUUAACAAAACUAAUGAAACUGUGAAUUGCUCAAGUUUUUAUUUGCUUUGAUGUAUGAAAUAUAAAGUUCAAAUGUAUACAUAGUGUAGUUUUAUACAUCUUCCCAACUAAUAGUUGAUUUUUGAAAGGAAGAUAAUAGUUGUUGAGCUUCCAGUAGCUGAUAUAAAACUUGGGACAAGAAAAGCGACACAAAAACUUGUACUGAUAUUUCUUCAAGAUGACAGAAUAUGACCCUAAUAAUAUUUCUGUAUAUGACCCUAAUAACUUCAAAAACAUCACAAAUGGAUAGGUACUUGUUGGAUCCACUUGAAUCCAUUGAUGAGGAGUUUGAUAUAUUAUAUAUUGUAGAAAUGGGGAGUAAAACAUCCACUACAAAUUUGAAUAAGACUCUCCCUUCUUAGUGUGAUUAAGAUAUGUUGGAAGGUAUUUUUAUUGCAUCUUAUUUUAAUUAUGAUUUGUUGAUGGUGAAACUUUGUGUUAAUUCUUUUAAGUGUUGUGUAGGUUGCUUUGUGAAGGCUUUUGGAAGAAUGGAUGCAUCAUAUUUUUUGCAAGGAUAUUAUCUCUGUGUAUUUUUGUGAUGGGUUGUAAUCUUUAAUGUCAUAAGUUUAAUUUGGUUUGUGUAUUAUUUUUUGUAAUGGUUUGUAAGAGAUUAUAUUUCCUUUCUUGGUUGGUUGGUUGGUUGAAUGUGUGUAUGUGAGAUUUAUUUAGUUUAGAAACUUAGAUUGGAAUGAUGGAUUUUUAUUGCUUGAAUGUACAUAAUUUCAGGUUUUGAAAGAGAAGUAAAAAGUGUUUUGGGCUUGUUCAUAAGAAUUUAAUAGGUUUUGGCAAUUUGACAACAAAAAAAGGGUUUUGGCUGAAAGGGAAUUGGAUUUGGGCUUUGUUUUGC